RNAcentral lists this ribosomal RNA (776 nucleotides) under uncultured Enterococcus sp. Its description in RNAcentral is "bacterial SSU rRNA". It matches the Rfam family "Bacterial small subunit ribosomal RNA", at positions 28 to 776 of the family's 1533-position model. Lineage: Bacteria; Bacillati; Bacillota; Bacilli; Lactobacillales; Enterococcaceae. The record is from RNAcentral.
GACGAACGCUGGCGGCGUGCCUAAUACAUGCAAGUCGAACGCUUUUUCUUUCACCGGAGCUUGCUCCACCGAAAGAAAAGGAGUGGCGAACGGGUGAGUAACACGUGGGUAACCUGCCCAUCAGAAGGGGAUAACACUUGGAAACAGGUGCUAAUACCGUAUAACAAUAGAAACCGCAUGGUUUCUAUUUGAAAGGCGCUUUUGCGUCACUGAUGGAUGGACCCGCGGUGCAUUAGCUAGUUGGUGAGGUAACGGCUCACCAAGGCAACGAUGCAUAGCCGACCUGAGAGGGUGAUCGGCCACAUUGGGACUGAGACACGGCCCAAACUCCCACGGGAGGCAGCAGUAGGGAAUCUUCGGCAAUGGACGAAAGUCUGACCGAGCAACGCCGCGUGAGUGAAGAAGGUUUUCGGAUCGUAAAACUCUGUUGUUAGAGAAGAACAAGGAUGAGAGUAAAAUGUUCAUCCCUUGACGGUAUCUAACCAGAAAGCCACGGCUAACUACGUGCCAGCAGCCGCGGUAAUACGUAGGUGGCAAGCGUUGUCCGGAUUUAUUGGGCGUAAAGCGAGCGCAGGCGGUUUCUUAAGUCUGAUGUGAAAGCCCCCGGCUCAACCGGGGAGGGUCAUUGGAAACUGGGAAACUUGAGUGCAGAAGAGGAGAGUGGAAUUCCAUGUGUAGCGGUGAAAUGCGUAGAUGUAUGGAGGAACACCAGUGGCGAAGGCGGCUCUCUGGUCUGUAACUGACGCUGAGGCUCGAAAGCGUGGGGAGCAAACAGG